Molecule: ribosomal RNA, 253 nt
Filed under: uncultured bacterium
Lineage: Bacteria
Description: partial 16S ribosomal RNA
Rfam family: Bacterial small subunit ribosomal RNA
Source: RNAcentral
UACGAAGGGGGCUAGCGUUGCUCGGAAUCACUGGGCGUAAAGCGCACGUAGGCGGGUCCUUAAGUCGGGUGUGAAAUCCUGGAGCUCAACUCCAGAACUGCCUUCGAUACUGAGGAUCUAGAGUCCGGGAGAGGUGAGUGGAACUCCGAGUGUAGAGGUGAAAUUCGUAGAUAUUAGGAAGAACACCAGUGGCGAAGGCGGCUCACUGGUCCGGUACUGACGCUGAGGUGCGAAAGCGUGGGGAGCAAACAGG